AAAUAAGAAGCAAAAAUUGCGCUUAGUUUCGACCUAAGAAUCUGAUUAAUAAAAUCCUUAUUUU
RNAcentral lists this transfer RNA (64 nucleotides) under unidentified. Its description in RNAcentral is "Borboresthes tibialis tRNA-Ala". The record is from RNAcentral.